This 258-nucleotide ribosomal RNA is filed under the name uncultured archaeon. RNAcentral describes it as "partial 16S ribosomal RNA". It matches the Rfam family "Archaeal small subunit ribosomal RNA", at positions 725 to 982 of the family's 1478-position model. The record is from RNAcentral.
UACAUUAGAUACCCGGGUAGUCCUAGGCGUAAAUGAUGCGAGUUAAGUGUGGGGGCAUCUACGAGAUGGCCCUGUGCUGUAGGGUAGCCGUUAAACUCGCUGCCUGGGGAGUACGGUCGCAAGGCUGAAACUUAAAGGAAUUGGCGGGGGAGCACCGCAACGGGAGGAGCGUGCGGUUCAAUUGGAUUCAACGCCGGACAACUCACCAGGAGCGACGGUUACAUGAAGGCCAGGCUGAUGACCUUGCCUGAUUUUCCG